Molecule: ribosomal RNA, 253 nt
Filed under: uncultured bacterium
Lineage: Bacteria
Description: partial 16S ribosomal RNA
Rfam family: Bacterial small subunit ribosomal RNA
Source: RNAcentral
GACAGAGGCCUCAAGCGUUAGGCGGAAUCACUGGGCUUAAAGCGUGUGUAGGCGGAUCGUUAAGUGUCUUGUGAAAUCCCACGGCUCACCCGUGGAACUGCUGGGCAUACUGGCGAUCUUGGGCCAACUAGGGGCAACUGGAACAAGCGGUGGAGCGGUGAAAUGCGUAGAUAUCGGGAAGAACACCCGUGGCGAAGGCGGCUCUCUGGGACGGUACUGACGCUGAGACGCGAAAGCGUGGGGAGCGAACAGG